UAGUUCAACUGGAUAGAGCGUCAGACUUCGAAUCUGAAUGUUGGGAGUUCGAGUCUCUC
RNAcentral lists this transfer RNA (59 nucleotides) under Deltaproteobacteria bacterium. Its description in RNAcentral is "tRNA-Arg". It matches the Rfam family "tRNA", at positions 8 to 63 of the family's 71-position model. From Rfam's summary of the family: Transfer RNA (tRNA) molecules are approximately 80 nucleotides in length. Lineage: Bacteria; Pseudomonadati; Myxococcota; Myxococcia. The record is from RNAcentral.